Molecule: non-coding RNA, 286 nt
Organism: Pelobates cultripes (western spadefoot toad)
Lineage: Eukaryota; Metazoa; Chordata; Amphibia; Anura; Pelobatidae
Source: the annotation of a GenBank genome assembly
GCUCCCGCGCUAGCUUCUGCUCACAAUUCUCUCUUGUAGUCCAGGUUGAUGAGCUAAUACGUAUUGAUGACUGAGCAAGUUUAGGAACACGAUAGUAGGGAUGCAGUUGUAUAAUCAAUCGUUUCUGCAAGACUUCAGGGUAUUGCGGAGGAGCUAUUUAGCUUGAUGCUACUUUACUGUUUUUAUGUUCUGCACUUUCUGUCAUCAAGAUCAUAUAUUGGACCUGUGAGUCUGAAUUAGUUCAGGAUAUUAUUUAAUGGCCCUGCGUCGCUAUGAAACUCCAGGG